Mercenaria mercenaria is the source of this 1002-nucleotide long non-coding RNA. RefSeq lists it as uncharacterized. The record is from RefSeq and is a predicted model, not a curated record. The transcript has 3 exons. Lineage: Eukaryota; Metazoa; Mollusca; Bivalvia; Venerida; Veneridae.
UACAAUAAACUUAAUUAGAUAGGUAACAAAACAAAUGGGAUUAAAACAUGUAUUGUAAUGCAACUUGUAUAUAUAAUGUAUUCAUGCACCUUGCAGUAAAGUUCAUUUUGAACUAAUUAAAAAUUUAUUGAAAUAAUUAUCAUUACUUUUUCUCCUAGAGUAACACCAAAAAGAACAUCACUAUCAGUAGUUGCAUAGAUAAUAUUGCAAUUUUUUCCACCUGGCUAUUAAGGGGUGAUAAAUUAAUCUACUGCAGUGUACAUGUUGCUUGUCUCACAACAGGAGAUUACCACAGACUGAUAAGAUCUUGUCUGCUUUAUAUUUAGAAUCUCUACCAAGAGGUCAGCCAAUGAAAAUAAAGUCAGUGAACUACUUCUGGGGGCUGUGCAUGUACCACAAAAAGUAAUCCUUAACUUUUGGGGGUUUUUUAUCAGAGUAACCUUUAAAAUUUAUGUGUAUCUAAAUGGAAUAAAAUCUUACUCUAGUACAGAAAUAGUUUCAACAUCCUAGAUGUAUCCUUCAUUAGCUGACUGUAAAUGACACAUUUGCCCAAGAAUAUCAAAAUUUCAAAUCUAAACAGGAAGUUCUUUGAGAGCAGGAUGGAGUUAUUUCACUACAAAGAAGUUUAUUGAUAUAGCUCUUUGUUUACUAUGUGCAGUUUAUAUUUAACAUGGAAGUUUAAGAGUAAUGAAAAGAAUACAAAUGGUAUUCCCGUAUAGCACCAUAUGUGUAUAUUAAGUAUGGCACACAUGAAUGAAUUGGGACCUUCGUUAUCAACGCAUUGUGUUCAAAGAAGACUUAAUGAAUCCAGCAGUUCAAAAACAUGUUUUGCAGUGAGACGAAUGGUGGCAAAUGAUGGCUUUGUGGCAGUUAGUGAAAAACUGUGGCAUUUUACACUGAUGGUGGCUAACAUUUACAGAAAAUUUCUCAACCAAUAGUGACAUUCAGUUGAAAGUAGUAGCAUAUCUUACACUGACUAUACAUCAGAAGAUUGUUGAAAAA